Molecule: long non-coding RNA, 556 nt
Filed under: Jatropha curcas
Lineage: Eukaryota; Viridiplantae; Streptophyta; Magnoliopsida; Malpighiales; Euphorbiaceae
Description: long non-coding RNA (JCUR_LNC002388)
Source: RNAcentral
AUCAUUAAGGGUAUUUUAGAGCAUUUUAAAUUUCAUUAAAGGUGAUAUCGAAAAUCUCACUAUUCCCCCUUAUUCCCACAUUUAUAUAUAUGAAAUGACCCAAAAAUUAAUUUUCAUAAAUUUCUUAUUUAAAAUAAAAUUUUAAUAUUAACUAUUGAGAUUGUACAAUAAAAUAUUUUAUAUUACUUAGUCGGACUCAUAAACCAGUUUGAAAUAUUCAAAAUCAAGUGAAAAUUGGACUAAACCGUUGAUUUGGACCAAAUCCGAUUUGAAUCGAACUGGAUCAGCCCAGAGAACCCCAGAAGCAUCUUUUUCCUUCUUUUUCUUUUCUUUCUCUUCUUCUUCUUCAUUCCAGCACUGGUCAGCCUUUCUUCCUCUCUCUCUCUUUGUUUUCUAACCACUUGAGAUAGGUUCGAUGCACCAUCUUUGCGACGACCAUCGCUUCUUGAUUUUGUUGGGAAAAAAUAUUAAAAACAACGAUAGUAGGAAGAGAAAAUGAGAUUAAGGCUGCAGAUACUUUAUUACUUCUUGGCUAACUACAUCAAAAAUAGCUAUA